UUUUUUUUUUUUUUUUUUUUUUUCAAAGCACGAACAAUGUUGAGCCUUCUUAUAUAUGAGGAUAUUUGCAUACAGGAAUCUCUAGUACCAAGUAUACACCAAAAAUGUACACAUUUCAGAUCAAGCAUAUGCUGGAGCCUUAAUAAAAUACAAAACUGAGCUUCCAUUAAAUGCCUUGGGCAACCAUGAAACCUGGCUAAUAUGCCAUAUUAUUUCAUUUGUACACAGUACAUGUUUUGGAUAACUAAACAGUGAUCAAAACUGAUCGAAAUCGCUUCAGGUUUUGGUUACCAUGAACAGAGAACAACUGCUCAGCAUGGCAUUUAAAUAAAACAAUCGUAUUUUUAAAAUCCAUAAACACAAUGCCCAUUCAUUUACAAAAAAAAAAAUAAAGUUUGAAAAUCUUGAGGAUGGAUGAGGCUUUGGGUAAUUAACCUGAAAAAAAAAAAAAAAAAAAAAAAAAAAAGAACAAAGAAACUACAAGAAUAGUAUAUUCCCAGAUUCAAACUUCAAAAUGCUAUUCUAAUUAAAAAAAAAAAAACACAACUCUAUCAACUCACCUAAAAAUAUCUGGAAAAUUCAGCUUUUAAAGCUUUAUACUCCCUCCAAUAGCUUUGCUUUCUCCCCUCCAACCACAGGGGAAAUUGUAGCUGAGUAUGGAAACAUUAUAAAUAUAUAUUUAUAUAAAGAUCUACUUAUUUUCGGCAUUUAUUUUAAAACAUAAGUUUAAAAAACACUGUGCAGUUUAUGUCUUUGCAGGAAACUGGUGGACCCAUCCCUCGCCUAAAUGCAGUACCUUUUGACCUAACACUGACCUCAAAAGUUAGGAAUGACUCUGUGGUAUCAAGAGGAAAUGGUCCCCAAACAACCUCAAAGAGACAGCACAACAUUUGCAACGGUUGUCUUUAGAGUCCAAGGUUGCAAAGGACCUGAGAAAUCUCUGCAGCUCUGAUGAGGUUUCCCUAUAAAUCAUUUAUUCACAAUGAUUUCCCCACAGUGGCCAGGUGGUUCCCCUAAAGAAAGGAAGUUUCAAGAGUUCCCUCAAAACAGCUCAGAAAUGAAACAAGGCCCUAGUCACGUGGCUCCUUCUGUCUUCCAAGUUCUACUUUUUUUUUGGUUUUGUUUUUGCUUUUUUUUUUCGGGCCACACCCACACACACACACACACACACACACACACAAAGACUGCACAUUUCUUAACAGUAAAUGCAACGGGCCUCCCUUUCAGAUGCAGCACUUGGAGCUAGCAAUUUACCAUAAGAACUGAUCAAAAUAAAGUGCCAUUUGCUCUGGACGUUUCCCUAACCAACUCCUGACUGCCUCUCAAUACCCGACUUAAUUCUUCACCGUCCUGUCAAACACCCGUGAUGGCACCUUUACAAAAUACAGUAAUAUUAACUUGAACCCUGGGAAACCAUGUUUCUGGAACAUUAGUCCCUAGAACAGAACUUUGAUUGCAGUUGUAGAUAAGGAUUCAGAUUUGUAAAAAGGCAAUCAGGAAUUCAGGACCUACCAAAUAGUUGUGUCCAAAAAACCCCACAUUAGCCUCUUUCAACUGGGGAGCCCGAGGGUGAGGGAACUGUUCCAGCAGCUAGUUCUUACUUCCCUAAAAGCUGGAUCUUUCUACAGAAUCAUCCCACACAAACCAACAUCUGGACCAACUCUUAGCUGCUGACGCUGGAUGUCUUUGUGUAGCUUGCCCAAGACACUUUGGUGGAUCUAGAGAAGAUGCCAUAACUCUACCAGACU
RNAcentral lists this long non-coding RNA (1748 nucleotides) under Sus scrofa (pig). RNAcentral describes it as "lncRNA (ENSSSCG00060054249.1)". Lineage: Eukaryota; Metazoa; Chordata; Mammalia; Artiodactyla; Suidae. The record is from RNAcentral.